This 468-nucleotide ribosomal RNA is filed under the name uncultured bacterium. RNAcentral's name for it is "partial 16S ribosomal RNA". It matches the Rfam family "Bacterial small subunit ribosomal RNA", at positions 28 to 507 of the family's 1533-position model. The record is from RNAcentral.
GACGAACGCUGGCGGCGUGCUUAACACAUGCAAGUCGAACGGAAAGGCCCGGCUCUUGCGGGGUGCUCGAGUGGCGAACGGGUGAGUAACACGUGAGUGACCUGCCCCUGACUGUGGGAUAAAUCCAGGAAAAUGGGGCUCAUACCCGGUAGGAGCUUCUGCUGCAUGGGGGGGGUUGGAAAGAUUCGGCGGUUGGGGAUGGACUCGAGGCUUAUCCGCUGGUUGGGCGAGUAGUGGCUUACCAGCGCUUCGACGGGUAGGCGGCAUGAGAGCGUUACCGGCCACAUUGGGCCUGAGAUACGGCCCAGUCUCCUACGGGCGGCAGCGGUGGGGAAUCUUGCACAGUGGGCGGAAGCCUGAUGCGGCAACGCCGCGUGCGUGAUGCCGGCCUUCGGGUUGUAAACCGCUUUCGCAUGUGCCGAAGAGUGCUUGACGGUAAUGGGUAAGGAAGCCCCGGCUAACUACGUG